Dromaius novaehollandiae (emu) is the source of this 731-nucleotide long non-coding RNA. RefSeq lists it as uncharacterized. The transcript has 3 exons. The record is from RefSeq and is a predicted model, not a curated record. Lineage: Eukaryota; Metazoa; Chordata; Aves; Casuariiformes; Dromaiidae.
CUGGGGGCGCCGGGCCCGCCUCUGAGCCGCGCUCCCUCACGGAGCCGAGAUCCGCUCCCGCUGCCUGAGGCUGUUGCUUGCAGUUACCGUCCUGGCGUCAAGAGGCAAACCCCCCAGUGUAGCCUUGUUGUGGGCUGCUGGCUUCUCCUGAAGCUCGGGAGGGAACAGAGGGGACGUCCUUGCAUUUCAUGUUUCGUCAGCCCGACAGCAUUUUGGCUUUGAUUCCAUCUUGCUCCUACCUGUUCCUGGACAGUGACGGGGAGGAGAAGAGGCACUAUCCCACCAUGUCCCGUUACAGCCUCCAUAAUCUCCUGGACUGGCUGUACGGGGGGGUGGAGCCCAGCUUUGCUGGCAAUGGAGGGCCAGAAUGCGCUGCCUUUCUCUCCGGGCAGCAGCGUCUGCUGGAGAGCUUGGUCUUCCUCAGUGUGGGUUUUGUGGAGAUCCUUCUGUCCCUGUGGAAGCUGAGGCAGCUGCACUGCAGGGAGCUGGAGGGUCAUCUGCUACAGCAGCCCCAGGCUAAGCAGGAGAGCUUGGGCAAAAAUCUGCUACUGGUGGCUCUCUGUCUCAUCUUUGGGCUGGAGGUGGGGUUCAAGUUUGCUACCAAGACUGUCAUUUACCUACUGAGUCCAUGUCAUGUGGUCACUAUGAUGGAGAUUUUUCUUCUUGACUGUCCUCCAUGUCGGGUUGCAAUGAUUCUUUUCAGGUAAUGCCCCAUCCUUGCUGCAUUUCUG